GGCUUAUCUGAAGGUAGUGAGUUAUCUCAAUUAAUUGUUCACAGUCAGUUACAGAUUGAACUCCUUGUUCUACUCUUUCUCCUCUUCUCACUGCUUCAUUUGACUAGUCUUAA
Unclassified non-coding RNA from Cercocebus atys (sooty mangabey), 113 nucleotides. It matches the Rfam family "Y RNA". From Rfam's summary of the family: Y RNAs are components of the Ro ribonucleoprotein particle (Ro RNP), in association with Ro60 and La proteins. The Y RNAs and Ro60 and La proteins are well conserved, but the function of the Ro RNP is not known. The record is from Ensembl. Lineage: Eukaryota; Metazoa; Chordata; Mammalia; Primates; Cercopithecidae.